UACGGAGGGUCCAAGCGUUAUCCGGAUUUAUUGGGUUUAAAGGGUACGUAGGCGGAAAAUUAAGUCAGUAGUGAAAGCCUCCCGCUUAACGGGAGAACUGCUAUUGAUACUGGUUUUCUUGAAUAUAGUUGAAGUAGGCGGAAUACGACAUGUAGCGGUGAAAUGCAUAGAUAUGUCGUGGAACACCGAUUGCGAAGGCAGCUUACUAAGCUAUUAUUGACGCUGAUGUACGAAAGCGUGGGGAGCGAAC
This 250-nucleotide ribosomal RNA is filed under the name uncultured bacterium. RNAcentral describes it as "partial 16S ribosomal RNA". It matches the Rfam family "Bacterial small subunit ribosomal RNA", at positions 524 to 773 of the family's 1533-position model. The record is from RNAcentral.